UGCAGGCAGCCGUGGCCCGGGGCUCCGAGACAGCGGAGAAGGGCCCGGCGGACCCCCGGCGUUGCCCACCCCCGGCCUAGCCUGCCGCCCGCCCGCGGGUCCCAUCCACCGCUGCCCAGUGCUUUUAUGUAACCGUCCCGGGCCAGAGUGGGGGAGGGGAGCGGAGCCCCCGUGACCAGCAGGCGGCCGCCCGCGCUCCGCGCGACCUCAGCCCGAGCCCCGGUCCCCGCCCCGCGCCGGCCCGGCCCAGAGCCCCGGCGCUACUGCCUCCUAGGCCAGMGGCCCUCCUCCGCCCCCCGGCCGGUCCCCCAGCCCAGAGCCCUACGAGCCCCGGACGGCGGGCAGCGGCACUUACCUCUGGAAAAUCUUCAGCAGAUGGCUCACUUUUCCCUUGCAACACUCCCCUGUAGACACUGCCUUUGCACCUUGGUUGCCGUGGAAAGGACAGAGCUCAAGGAGACCUUUCCAUCAAGGUCACUCUGCUUUCAGCAGCUGGCUCCUGCACAGUGUUAAACUGGCCAAAAGAGUCUGAGAAGCUGUCAAGGCCACYUCCAGCCACCCCACAGCAAUACUACUGUGAAAGGUCCAGA
Long non-coding RNA from Urocitellus parryii (Arctic ground squirrel), 590 nucleotides. RefSeq lists it as uncharacterized. Lineage: Eukaryota; Metazoa; Chordata; Mammalia; Rodentia; Sciuridae. The record is from RefSeq and is a predicted model, not a curated record.